Molecule: transfer RNA, 71 nt
Filed under: Loxodonta africana (African savanna elephant)
Lineage: Eukaryota; Metazoa; Chordata; Mammalia; Proboscidea; Elephantidae
Rfam family: tRNA
About the family: Transfer RNA (tRNA) molecules are approximately 80 nucleotides in length. Their secondary structure includes four short double-helical elements and three loops (D, anti-codon, and T loops).
Source: Rfam by way of RNAcentral
GCAGAGGUAGUUCAGUGGUAGAAUUCUCCCCUUCCAUGUGGGAGACCCAGGUUCGAUUCCUGGCUAAUAUA